RNAcentral lists this ribosomal RNA (1371 nucleotides) under uncultured bacterium. RNAcentral describes it as "bacterial SSU rRNA". It matches the Rfam family "Bacterial small subunit ribosomal RNA", at positions 28 to 1381 of the family's 1533-position model. The record is from RNAcentral.
GAUGAACGCUGGCGGCGUGCCUAAUACAUGCAAGUCGAGCGAACGGACGAGAAGCUUGCUUCUCUGAUGUUAGCGGCGGACGGGUGGGUAACACGUGGAUAACCUACCUAUAAGACUGGGAUAACUUCGGGAAACCGGAGCUAAUACCGGAUAAUAUUUUGAACCGCAUGGUUCAAAAGUGAAAGACGGUCUUGCUGUCACUUAUAGAUGGAUCCGCGCUGCAUUAGCUAGUUGGUAAGGUAACGGCUUACCAAGGCAACGAUGCAUAGCCGACCUGAGAGGGUGAUCGGCCACACUGGAACUGAGACACGGUCCAGACUCCUACGGGAGGCAGCAGUAGGGAAUCUUCCGCAAUGGGCGAAAGCCUGACGGAGCAACGCCGCGUGAGUGAUGAAGGUCUUCGGAUCGUAAAACUCUGUUAUUAGGGAAGAACAUAUGUGUAAGUAACUGUGCACAUCUUGACGGUACCUAAUCAGAAAGCCACGGCUAACUACGUGCCAGCAGCCGCGGUAAUACGUAGGUGGGCAGCGUUAUCCCGAAUUUAUGGGCGUAAAGCGCGCGUAGGCGGUUUUUUAGUCUGAUGUGAAAGCCCACGGCUCAACCGUGGAGGGUCAUUGGAAACUGGAAAACUUGAGUGCAGAAGAGGAAAGUGGAAUUCCAUGUGUAGCGGUGAAAUGCGCAGAGAUAUGGAGGAACACCAGUGGCGAAGGCGACUUUCUGGUCUGUAACUGACGCUGAUGUGCGAAAGCGUGGGGAUCAAACAGGAUUAGAUACCCUAGUAGUCCACGCCGUAAACGAUGAGUGCUAAGUGUUAGGGGGUUUCCGCCCCUUAGUGCUGCAGCUAACGCAUUAAGCACUCCGCCUGGGGAGUACGACCGCAAGGUUGAAACUCAAAGGAAUUGACGGGGACCCGCACAAGCGGUGGAGCAUGUGGUUUAAUUCGAAGCAACGCGAAGAACCUUACCAAAUCUUGACAUCCUUUGACAACUCUAGAGAUGGAGCCUUCCCCUUCGGGGGACAAAGUGACAGGUGGUGCAUGGUUGUCGUCAGCUCGUGUCGUGAGAUGUUGGGUUAAGUCCCGCAACGAGCGCAACCCUUAAGCUUAGUUGCCAUCAUUAAGUUGGGCACUCUAAGUUGACUGCCGGUGACAAACCGGAGGAAGGUGGGGAUGACGUCAAAUCAUCAUGCCCCUUAUGAUUUGGGCUACACACGUGCUACAAUGGACAAUACAAAGGGCAGCGAAACCGCGAGGUCAAGCAAAUCCCAUAAAGUUGUUCUCAGUUCGGAUUGUAGUCUGCAACUCGACUACAUGAAGCUGGAAUCGCUAGUAAUCGUAGAUCAGCAUGCUACGGUGAAUACGUUCCCGGGUCU